GCACUAUCAACUAUCCUGUCUCUGCUGUGUGGUGCAGGGUUAGGGUUAUUAAGUGCUAGAGAAAGGCAAAGGAAAUCCAGAUGGAGCAUAUUGCACCUUGUGUUCUGUCUCUACACCUUUGCUACAAGG
Molecule: small nucleolar RNA, 129 nt
Organism: Bombina bombina (fire-bellied toad)
Lineage: Eukaryota; Metazoa; Chordata; Amphibia; Anura; Bombinatoridae
Product: small nucleolar RNA SNORA55
Exons: 1
Source: RefSeq, a predicted model, not a curated record